CAGGAACAAGGUUCAAGGAACUCCAGAGCUGCAAUGUGGUCAGACAACAUUUAUGGACCUAUAACGGUGGUGACAUACAGAGUAAAGGACCAGGAGGGAACAGCAAAAUUCUCUUCUGGAAGCUGGUCCAGAAGUUCUGAAAUGUAUCCUGUUUGGCCCAUCUAAAAUCAUGUGUCCAUAACUGAAUGAAAUCCCAGUGACCAGAGGAAUUCCAAGGCUCAGUUCACCCUGAAAGUCAAUCCUGGCACUCCUUCCUAAACAACGUGGAGGCUGCAGCUUUUAGCUGGACACCAUCACUCUAGCCCGCAUUUUAUUGGAUGACACAAGUCAUGUGGCUAAACCAAACAUCCCUAGGAUGAGGAAAGAAUGCUCUCACAACCUUCAUGAGAGCAAUCAACACAUAAGACUCCAGUUAUCAAAUAUGUGGGUAUUUCUUCCCACCAACAAGCAAGCUAUCGUUUCUACAGUGGACACCGGCUGAAUGUCGUCUAAUUCAAUGCCAAGGCUAUCUACCCAGAGGUGGCAUCCGAUCCCACAGGUUGAGGGCUGAGUCUCUAAAACUGCCCCCUACUCCAGAUAUCAAUGGCAAACUCAAGUAUCUUAUUGUGCUGUACUCACCCUUCUUGUGAUCAUGUGGCUACAUGAUAAGAUCAAGUGAGGUGAAUGACAUAGGCAUUGUGACCUCGUAUCGACCUUCAACACCAGCGCUGUGGACAUUGAGACAUUAUUUGGAUUCACGGACAAAGGGAUGAUUCAUGUCCCAGGUGGGAAGGAGCAGGACAGCAUGAAAUUUCAUCACACUCCUUGGAAUGGUGUGCAAUUUAAAAUUCAUGAAUU
Molecule: non-coding RNA, 837 nt
Organism: Microcebus murinus (gray mouse lemur)
Lineage: Eukaryota; Metazoa; Chordata; Mammalia; Primates; Cheirogaleidae
Source: RefSeq, a predicted model, not a curated record